Molecule: long non-coding RNA, 1810 nt
Organism: Pongo abelii (Sumatran orangutan)
Lineage: Eukaryota; Metazoa; Chordata; Mammalia; Primates; Hominidae
Source: Ensembl
GCCUGCGCCCGCGCCCGCCCCUGCCCCCGGCCCGAGGCUCCGCCCCUCGCCCGAGGCCCCGCCUUCCUCCCGCGCGCGCCGCACCCCGGGUACCCGGCCUCCUCCCGAGGCUCCGGCCUGCGCACGCGCGCCCACCCGAGGCUCCUCCCCUGCCCCCGCCGCUGGCCCCGCCUCUAGACCACGCCCCCGUCCCGAGACCCCUCCCGGUCCGCCUCCUCGGGGCCGAGCAGGUUUCGGUUUCUCAAGGGUGGUGCAGGUCCCCGGGGUGGCGGACUCGACCUGGCCUGCAGCCAGGCUACCGCAAGAAAGCCCAAGGUCGUGUCCGGCCACUGAAGGGCAGGGUGGUCCUUGCUGACGCCAACCUGGAAGAUCAGACCCGGCCCCAGCUUGCCAGAGAGGGCCCUGUCCUUGGCGAAAGGCCACAAAAGCUAUUUGAAUUCAUUUACUUCUGCGUUCAGAACCUUUACAUAUUGCAUGUCGUGUAUAUUCAGUCACUGAACAAAUCUCCGUUAGGGGCGCUGUUCUGUGCUGGGAACACACAGGGCAAUGAAGAGCAGCAGGAAAGCCUCAACCUCUGGAAGCUUCCACUCUCGUGAAUCAGCACCACUUCAUCAUCUGUGAGCUGGUUGAGUGGGGCAGUGGGGGUGCCCAGCUUCCUGAAGGUGCAAGCUGGAGGGUCUCAGGAGAAAGGCAAGACUGAUGCCCACCCUGACCCUGUGUGCUACAGAAACAACAGACAGCCCACCCGCAUCUGCUAGAAGGCGUGAAGGAAGGAAGGGCCAAGGAUGAGAUGUGGAGGGACUCGGGUCCAUGGGGUAGGUAUUGCUGAGGCCAUCAGAACACCAGACACCAGGACAUCAUCUACAGCCUCCCCUCCACCAAGGGGAGAAUUGUCAGCCAUUGCCUGAUGUCAUUCCCCUCCGCCAAGGCCAGAAUGCUGCCUAUUGCCAGAGGUGGGGACGGGAGGGACACUGAGGACUGAGAUGUCUGGGGACAACGCUGGCUUCACGAAAGAGAGACGAGGCCAGGUGCGGUGGCUCACGCCUGUAAUCCCAGCACUUUGGGAGGCUGAGGCGGGCGGAUCACGAGGUCAGGAGUUCAAGACCAGCCUGGCCUAUAUGGCGAAACUCCGUCUCUAUUAAAAGUACGAAAAUUAGCCGGGCGUGAUGGCACGCACCUGUAGUCCCAGCUACUUGGGAGGCUGAGGCAGAACAAUCACUUGAACCCGGGAGGCGGAGGUUGCAGUGAGCCGAGAUUGCGCCAUUGCACUCUAGCCUGAGCAACAAGAGUGAAACUCGGUCCCAAAAAAAAAAAAAAGAGAUGAGGUUUAGCUGGGCAUGCCAGCCUUCACUUGCCCAAUCACUGUCUAAGUGAUUUGUACGCCCUGAGACCAAGCGAAAGGGAUGAUCUAGAGUUAGCAGCUUUUCUAGAAGCCAGCCUCUGACCCCUCCCACCCAGGAAGAGUAGGCUGAACAGUGGUUAGACAGGCCUUUAAUUCAGGUCUCUUCAAAAAGUGAAUAAAUAGAAGACAGAGGACUCAGCAGCUCUGCCAGGGAGCAAGCCUCCUGGACUUGCUAAUUUUGCAGCAUAGACCUUGCAGAGAGGGUGGAGCCUGGUGAAGAAGGGGUGUUAAUCCCCGCAAGAGGCUGCAAAGCGAACUGCUCACACAGGCUUGGAUUGGGGCAUUGUCUUGCUUUGAAAAUCCCCAGAUUUUAUUUUGCUAAAGCUUGCAAUUUCUUCUGUGUGUAAAUGGCACUUAAAAUCUGUUUGUAAUGGAACUUGAUUGUAUCCAGCUGUCACCAACUGUUCC